UACGUAGGGGGCUAGCGUUGUCCGGAAUCAUUGGGCGUAAAGCGCGUGUAGGCGGUCCGGUAAGUCCGCUGUGAAAGUCGGGGGCUCAACCCUCGAAUGCCGGUGGAUACUGUCGGGCUAGAGUGCGGAAGAGGCGAGUGGAAUUCCUGGUGUAGCGGUGAAAUGCGCAGAUAUCAGGAGGAACACCGGUGGCGAAGGCGGGUCUCUGGGCCGAUAUUGACGCUGGAGGAGCGAAAGCGUGGGGAGCGAACAGGA
Molecule: ribosomal RNA, 255 nt
Filed under: uncultured bacterium
Lineage: Bacteria
Description: partial 16S ribosomal RNA
Rfam family: Bacterial small subunit ribosomal RNA
Source: RNAcentral